This 490-nucleotide ribosomal RNA is filed under the name uncultured bacterium. RNAcentral describes it as "partial 16S ribosomal RNA". It matches the Rfam family "Bacterial small subunit ribosomal RNA", at positions 30 to 507 of the family's 1533-position model. The record is from RNAcentral.
AUUGAACGCUGGCGGCAGGCCUAACACAUGCAAGUCGAACGGUAACAGAAAGCAGCUUGCUGCUUUGCUGACGAGUGGCGGACGGGUGAGUAAUGUCUGGGAAACUGCCUGAUGGAGGGGGAUAACUACUGGAAACGGUAGCUAAUACCGCAUAACGUCGCAAGACCAAAGAGGGGGACCUUCGGGCCUCUUGCCAUCGGAUGUGCCCAGAUGGGAUUAGCUAGUAGGUGGGGUAACGGCUCACCUAGGCGACGAUCCCUAGCUGGUCUGAGAGGAUGACAAGCCACACUGGAACUGAGACACGGUCCAGACUCCUACGGGAGGCAGCAGUGGGGAAUAUUGGACAAUGGGCGCAAGCCUGAUGCAGCCAUGCCGCGUGUAUGAAGAAGGCCUUCGGGUUGUAAAGUACUUUCAGCGGGGAGGAAGGGAGUAAAGUUAAUACCUUGGCUCAUUGACGUUACCCGCAGAAGAAGCACCGGCUAACUCCGUG